Sus scrofa (pig) is the source of this 3641-nucleotide RNA transcript. It is a transcript of the gene named nuclear protein 2, transcriptional regulator, with no coding region annotated. Lineage: Eukaryota; Metazoa; Chordata; Mammalia; Artiodactyla; Suidae. The record is from RefSeq and is a predicted model, not a curated record.
UCUGCAACCGACACCACAGCUCACAACAAUGCUGGAUCCUUAACCCACUGAGUGAAGCCAGGGAUAGAACCCACGUCCUCACAGAUACUAGUCGGGUUUGUUUCCACUGACCACUAUGGGAACUUUCUAUAAGUCAAAUCGUUAUGCUCGCUGUAUACCUUAAACUUAUACAGUGAUGUAUGCCAACUGUACCUCAGUAAAACUGGUAGCAAAAAUGUUUAUCAGGGUAACCAAAUUGAAUAGUUCACAAGGGAAAGAAUUCUAGCUAAUAAAAUAACCAUUUUGCAGCCCUAAUGAACUAAUAGAAAAUGAACACAAUAGAAAAUAAAGAAAUGAAUAUGGAUGAAACUAUUAAAUAAUAGUUAAAUGUGGAACUAUACAAUUGCAGAGACAGGCUGUCACCACCUGAGCCCACUGAUCACUAAACUUGGGACAAUGAGCUAUUCUGGGUCUCCUAGUGUGAUGCCAACACACAUCACUUCCUAGGAAAGUGCAUCUGAGUAUAAACCAGCCUCUAGAGCCAACCUCAAUUUACAAGAUACAGAAGAGAGAGGAACAAGUUAAAUGACACCAAAGGUAGCAGACACAGCCACAAAGUAGGGCAUUUUACAAGACAACCGACCCAGUUUUUGCAACCAGUCAUGUCAGGGAAAAGUGAAGAAGGCAGGGGCACACCCUAGGCUGGCUAUUCGAGACUUAAAUAUCAUACAAGCACAUUUCGUGUGUAGAUUUUGUAUAUAUUCUGAGUUGUACGUAUUCCAAUGUCUUUUGGACAAUCAGAGAAAUUCGACUCUGGACUAAGUACUAGAUAAUAACAGGGCCUAGUUAAUUUUGUCAAGUGUGAAAAUAGCAUUGAAGUUAUGUAAGAAAUAAGUCUAGUGUUUGAGAACUGUACAUUGAGAUAUAUAAGAGUGAACAGGGGGAGUUCCCAUUGUGGCUCAGUGGAUCGUGAGCCUGACUGGUAUCCAUGAGGAUGCAGUUUGAUCCCUGGCCUCACUCAGUGGGUUAAGGAUCUGGUGUUGCUCUGAGCUGCCGUGUACAUCGCAGACUUGGCUAGUAUCCUGAGUUGCUGUGGUGUAGGCAGGCAGCUGCAGCUCCGAUUUGACCCCUAGCCUAGGAACUUCCAUAUGCUGCAGGUGUGGCUUUAGGAAGCAAGGAGAAAGAAAAAGAAAAAAAAAAAAAAAAAAGAAUGACCAGGCAUAAAGUCUGCAGCAGAGGAUAAUAGGGAUAAUGCAAAUGAGACAGGAUCUUGGUAAUUGUUGAAUCCAGUAUGAAGGGAUAUGGGAGGUCUUCGUUCUAUUUUCACUUCACAGAAUAUCUGAAUAUUUUCAUAACAAAUUCUAAAAGAGACUUUUAAAAAGAGAUAAUGUGUGGGAGAGUAGCACAGGGAUAAAUAUUAGUUUCUCUCCUUCCCAGUGGCAGGUGUAAGGCACGUGGGUGGAAGAGAAAAUCCCCUCGGUGUUUUAUUAAAAACACUCUCUGGGACUUGUUCAUUUAAGGAACUACCAAAAUUGCCCUCAGCGCGGUAUGUAGGCCACGCCCCACAAGGGAAACGACUUUAGAGCGAAGAGAAAAAACUCAAAGUGGCAACCUGGUCACAGACAGAAACUCAGCAAAACCAAAUAUCUGAGAAGGACUUUUUUUUUUUUUUCCAACUACACAAUUAUUUUCGAUCUAUUAAAAAGAAAAUCCCCGAGGGAGUAGAUGCAAUUUUUGUAGGAAGAGAGUUACCUGCGCUAGUUAAAUCGAGCCAAAACAAAGGCAUUCUUCACAGUAACUCCCCGAGAGCAGCAUUUAAGGAGACUGUAAUUAGGUAAUUAGACCUGGGAUUCGCCGCAGAGCCUCGCGUGCCCCCGGGUGUUAAUGACUCCAGCUCCGCUGCUGUGUGGCGGCUCUCCGCGGUAAACCUGGCCUUUAAUUUUCUUUCUUUUUUUUUUUUUAGGGCCGCACCCAAGGUUCCCAGGAUGGGGGGGGAGGGGGUCGAAUCGGAGCUACAGCUGCCGGCCACAGCAAGGCCAGAUCCUUAACCCACUGAACAAGGCCAGGGAUCGAACCCUCAACCUCAUGAUUACUAGCCGGAUUCGUUUCUGCUGUGCCACAAUGGGAACUCCGACCUAGCCUGGCACAGGGACUGAUUCCUCUGGCCUCAGCUGCUCUUGGGGAGCAUCCUUACCCCCACGUCCGCAGGGCCCAUCGCAGCCGGGACUGGUGGGUGCGUGGGAAGCUGGGCUCGCCCUGGUCCCCCUGCGCAGCCGCUCCCGACUCCUGGCCUCCACCCCUAAACUGCCCGCGCAUCGUUAUCCACGCUUAGCGUCCCCCAAUCCAAGGACACGGGCACCCGCGGAUCAUCCGAAACUGUGCGGGGUUCUGACCCUGCACCAGGCAAAGUGACUUUUCCCUCUGAAUCGUUCGCUUAAUACAGUUAAUUCGUACUCUUUAUCAAAAACAUGAACUGCGGAAAGGAAAAAGAACUAAGGUAUGUACGUCCCUACCGGCCAGAAAUACUUUUAGCAUUCUGAUGUAUUUCCUUUCAGUCAAAAAUACAUUACUGGGAUACCAGAGAUAAUACUUGAGACUAAUUUUUCACUUUAUGCCAUUAUUGAGCACUUAACUCCUGCCAUCAAACAGCCUAACAAAAUGUGCAAUGCUGAUAAAAGUUCUCCCGAGGAAUGCACAACUCCCUCACGGUUGAUACUUGGAUAAUUUCCUAUUUUUGACUGACACGGGGAAGUGUUCGGUCAGAUUUUGCCACUUGCCCCUCUCGCGCCAGCGGCGUACGGGCCGGGGUGGAGGAGGAGCGGGUCACAGUUCCCGGGACUGGAGCGCCGGGGCCUCGCGCGGGGCACCCUCCAGGCUCUGUGACAUCAGCCCUAGCCCCCGCCCCCUCCGACGGAGCGGAUCGAAGCGCGGGGUGGGGAUCUCCAGACACGCGCGCGCCGGGGCGCGGGCGGGCUGCGGGGCAGCCCGACGCGAUGGAAUCGGCCUUUUCCAGGGUUCGGGCUCCGGCCCAGGCGCCACCACCCAAGGCGUGGUCGCCGGUGGGCUCCGAGGAGGAGCUCUAUGACUGCCCGGAUUACUACUACCUGCGCGACUUUCCAGCCUGCGGGGCGGGGCGCAGCAAGGGCCGGACGCGGCGCGAGCGGGAACUGCGCACCAACUGGCUGGUGCCCGGCGGCCACGAGCGUAAGAUCGCACAGAAGCUCCUAAACGGCCAGCGCAAGCGUCGCCAGCGGCAGCUGCAGCCCAGACCGCGCACCGGUCUCGCCUGAGCGCCGGUGCGUGCCAACAGCCACCGGCCAGGGCCCAGGGGAGCCGCAUGACGCUCCCGUCCGCCCUGCCAACUCGACCCCGGCACAGUCGCCCCUUUCUGAUGCUGCCCCGCGUCGCGAGUCAUUAGCUGGGCCCCACCUUCUCUCCGGACUGCAGUUGGAAUCUUGACACCCGAAGGACCUGAUAAAAGUAUUUUCUCUGCCUCCAGCUGUAACUGUGGUCCUAAGGGGGACAGUCCAUGUUGGUCAACAGACCUCCUUUUCGACAUGACUUAAGUUUACUGCUUCAGUAUCUUUUCCUUGCUGAUUGUUAAGUAACAUCCAAGUGGGUAUGCCUGUUUAGGGUUUUUAAUUAAAAGAGAGAAGCAAGAA